GUGUUUAAAAGUAUAAUUUAAUGGUUAUUUUCAUUUAAUGAUUGAAAAUUUGAAAUAAUGACUGACACCAGUUUGAUUAAAAUAAUAUAAAAUACAAAUGUAACUCGUACUGAAUUGACGUUAAUAAUGUAGUUUUUUAAGCUGUAAAAACGAGAGGAGUUGUAAUUUUUACUUAUAAAAAAUAUUAUCAACAAUCAGUUAAAAUUUAUGAUGAUUUUAAGCAUUGAUCCACGGUGGACC
Molecule: long non-coding RNA, 240 nt
Filed under: Trifolium pratense (red clover)
Lineage: Eukaryota; Viridiplantae; Streptophyta; Magnoliopsida; Fabales; Fabaceae
Description: long non-coding RNA (TPRA_LNC007677)
Source: RNAcentral